This 676-nucleotide ribosomal RNA is filed under the name Pseudomonas fluorescens. RNAcentral's name for it is "bacterial SSU rRNA". It matches the Rfam family "Bacterial small subunit ribosomal RNA", at positions 557 to 1232 of the family's 1533-position model. Lineage: Bacteria; Pseudomonadati; Pseudomonadota; Gammaproteobacteria; Pseudomonadales; Pseudomonadaceae. The record is from RNAcentral.
GGCGUAAGGGCUCGCAGGCGGUUUCUUAAGUCUGAUGUGAAAGCCCCCGGCUCAACCGGGGAGGGGCAUUGGAAACUGGGGAAACUUGAGUGCGGAAGAGGAUGGUGGAAUUCCCCGUGUAGCGGUGAAAUGCGUAGAUAUGUGAAGGAACACCAGUGGCGAAGGCGACUCCCUGGUCUGUUACUGACGCUGAGGAGCGAAAGCGUGGGGAGCGAACAGGAUUAGAUACCCUGGUAGUCCACGCCGUAAACGAUGUCUGCUAGCCGUUGGGAGCCUUGCGCUCUUAAUGGCUCAGCUAACGCAUUAAGUUGACCGCCUGGGGAGUACGGCCGCCAGGAUAAAACUCAAAUGAAUUGACGGGGGCCCGCACAAGCGGUGGAGCAUGUGGUUUAAUUCCAAACAACGCCAAAAACCUUACCAGGCCUUGACAUCCAAUGAACUUUCCUAAAAUGGAUUGGUGCCUUCCGGAGCAUUGAGACAGGUGCUGCAUGGCUGUCGUCAGCUCGUGUCGUGAGAUGGUGGGUUAAGUCCCGUAACGAGCGCAACCCUUGUCCUUAGUUACCAGCACGUUAUGGUGGGCACUCUAAGGAGACUGCCGGUGACAAACCGGAGGAAGGUGGGGAUGACGUCAAGUCAUCAUGGCCCUUACGGCCUGGGCUACACACGUGCUACAAUG